This 1221-nucleotide long non-coding RNA is filed under the name Oryctolagus cuniculus (rabbit). RNAcentral describes it as "lncRNA (ENSOCUG00000032394.1)". The record is from RNAcentral. Lineage: Eukaryota; Metazoa; Chordata; Mammalia; Lagomorpha; Leporidae.
UCUAACUGGGAUUUUAAGAGAGUGAUGAUGAUGGUGGUGAUGCUAGUGAUAAUGGUUAACAGUUAAUGAAUAUUUUAAUGUUCCAAAGAACCGCCUAACUAAUGCCUUAUCUCACUGGAAACUUUCAACAGCUCUAGUUGUUACUCCAUUUCACAUCUCAGUAAUGCAACAGAAACAGAGAAGUUAAAGAACUACUAGGUGGUACAAAUCCAAGUUAGCCAGUCCCAGAGUCAGCCUCAUUGUGUGACUCUAUUUUAUUGAGGCAGUGUUGAGGAAGGAUCUGCCUGGAGGAUGGUGGGGUUGGGUAAAGGGCAAGUUGAGGGCUGCAGAAGGGCUUGCCUGGCCAAGGGACCAGCAAGUGCAAAGACAGGGAGAUGAGAAAUCAUGGGGCAGCAAUUAGGGAUUUGUGAGAAGUUUCUUGCUGAAUGAUGCCUUAUAAAUUGGGGGUUGUUAAGGUGAGCCUUGUGAUUGUUUACAGAUAAGAAGGGAUCUCUUAGACAUGACAAUGGGUUUAGACACAGUGUCAUUAGGGGAUUUUAAGCAGGAGAACGAAAUGAUCCUAUUAUUUUAUUGGUGGGGCAUAAGGAGAGGGUCUUAAAUUACAGGGAUGUGAGUUCAGUAACUAAAAUGUAGUAAUAAAUAGCCAUUUGAUAACCUUUAACUUGUAUUAACUUUAAUUUCUUUCUAGUCAAAGCACUUCUGAUUUGGGUGAGUUCUUGAAACUGAAAUCUGCAAGUGUUGUGCUCAUUUAUUGAGGUUGCAGAUAGAACCAACAUAUCUCCAGCUGCUCUUCAUGUCACCUGGGGCAGAGAUUUAUUCUGGACCUGAUCUUCAGAUAAAAUUUGCCAGAUGGGAAAAAUCCAUUGGCGCUGCGGAGCCGGAGAGUUGGCCUGGUGGAAGUGAUCAGACGAUGUGGGUAAAUUCAUCUUUGAACAAAUGAAUUAAAUAUGCACAGUAAAUGGUUUAGUGCACAGCAGGAGAGUGCCGCCUAAUCAUUGGGGAAGAAAGCAAAGCAGCAGAGCCGCAAGCUUCACGCAGUCACUCCUGUGGUUGGGUGUGAGAGGUGGUGAUAGCCAGGAGGCUAGCAGAGUGCUUUGUAGCACCGUGCUCGCCUGAGUGUGCAAUAUGUUAACUACAGCUGGGUCUGGCAUAAUCAUCCCUGACUAAUGGGAGGAGAGGGGAGGGGGUUCAAGUGCUGAAUAAAUAAAUUACUUAAUUACA